Molecule: ribosomal RNA, 207 nt
Filed under: uncultured bacterium
Lineage: Bacteria
Description: partial 16S ribosomal RNA
Rfam family: Bacterial small subunit ribosomal RNA
Source: RNAcentral
CGCGUAGGCGGCGCGACAAGUCACUUGUGAAAUCUCCGGGCUUAACUCGGAACGGUCAAGUGAAACUGUCAUGCUAGAGUGCAGAAGGGGCAAUCGGAAUUCUUGGUGUAGCGGUGAAAUGCGUAGAUAUCAAGAGGAACACCUGAGGUGAAGACGGGUUGCUGGGCUGACACUGACGCUGAGGCGGCGAAAGCCAGGGAGCAAACG